RNAcentral lists this ribosomal RNA (1412 nucleotides) under Cyloma sp. SLE0107. RNAcentral describes it as "SSU rRNA". It matches the Rfam family "Eukaryotic small subunit ribosomal RNA", at positions 437 to 1762 of the family's 1831-position model. Lineage: Eukaryota; Metazoa; Arthropoda; Insecta; Coleoptera; Hydrophilidae. The record is from RNAcentral.
CAAAUUACCCACUCCCGGCACGGGGAGGUAGUGACGAAAAAUAACGAUACGGGACUCAUCCGAGGCCCCGUAAUCGGAAUGAGUACACUCUAAACCCUUUAACGAGGAUCAAUUGGAGGGCAAGUCUGGUGCCAGCAGCCGCGGUAAUUCCAGCUCCAAUAGCGUAUAUUAAAGUUGUUGCGGUUAAAAAGCUCGUAGUCGAAUCUGUGUCUCGCGCCGCCGGUUCAUCGCUCGCGGUGUUUAACUGGCGUGUCGCGGGACGUCCUGCCGGUGGGCUUAGCCUCCUUCGCGGGGGGCGGCCCAACUACGCAUCCCGCCGCGGUGCUCUUCGCUGAGUGUCGAGGUGGGCCGGCACGUUUACUUUGAACAAAUUAGAGUGCUUAAAGCAGGCUCAAACUUCGCCUGAAUAUUCUGUGCAUGGAAUAAUGGAAUAGGACCUCGGUUCUAUUUUGUUGGUUUUCGGAACCCCGAGGUAAUGAUUAAUAGGAACGGAUGGGGGCAUUCGUAUUGCGACGUUAGAGGUGAAAUUCUUGGAUCGUCGCAAGACGGACGGAAGCGAAAGCAUUUGCCAAAAACGUUUUCAUUGAUCAAGAACGAAAGUUAGAGGUUCGAAGGCGAUCAGAUACCGCCCUAGUUCUAACCAUAAACGAUGCCAGCUAGCGAUCCGCCGACGUUCCUCCGAUGACUCGGCGGGCAGCUUCCGGGAAACCAAAGCUUUUGGGUUCCGGGGGAAGUAUGGUUGCAAAGCUGAAACUUAAAGGAAUUGACGGAAGGGCACCACCAGGAGUGGAGCCUGCGGCUUAAUUUGACUCAACACGGGAAACCUCACCAGGCCCGGACACCGGAAGGAUUGACAGAUUGAGAGCUCUUUCUUGAUUCGGUGGGUGGUGGUGCAUGGCCGUUCUUAGUUGGUGGAGCGAUUUGUCUGGUUAAUUCCGAUAACGAACGAGACUCUAGCCUGCUAACUAGGCGUAUUUUCGACAUCUGAAAGGCCCCUCGGCCCGGCGCUCUCGCGUCGCGGUCGCGCGCGGUUUUUACUGUCGGCGUACAAUCAAUUCUUCUUAGAGGGACAGGCGGCUUCUAGCCGCACGAGAUUGAGCAAUAACAGGUCUGUGAUGCCCUUAGAUGUUCUGGGCCGCACGCGCGCUACACUGAAGGAAUCAGCGUGUCCUCCCUGGCCGAGAGGCCCGGGUAACCCGCUGAACCUCCUUCGUGCUAGGGAUUGGGGCUUGCAAUUGUUCCCCAUGAACGAGGAAUUCCCAGUAAGCGCGAGUCAUAAGCUCGCGUUGAUUACGUCCCUGCCCUUUGUACACACCGCCCGUCGCUACUACCGAUUGAAUGAUUUAGUGAGGUCUUCGGACCGGUACGCGGCGGCGCUCCCGCGUCGCCGAUGUUGCUGGGAAGAUGACCAA